UGGGGAAUAUUGCACAAUGGAGGGAACUCUGAUGCAGCGACGCCGCGUGAACGAAGAAGGCUUUCGAGUCGUAAAGUUCUUUUAUAUGGGAAGAUAAUGACGGUACCAUAAGAAGAAGCCCCGGCUAACUACGUGCCAGCAGCCGCGGUAAUACGUAGGGGGCUAGCGUUGUCCGGAAUCACUGGGCGUAAAGGGUUCGCAGGCGGAAAUGCAAGUCAGGUGUAAAAGGCAGUAGCUUAACUACUGUAAGCAUUUGAAACUGCAUAUCUUGAGAAGAGUAGAGGUAAGUGGAAUUGUUAGUGUAGCGGUGAAAUGCGUAGAUAUUAAAAAGAAUACCGGUGGCGAAGGCGACUUACUGGGCUCAGUCUGACGCUGAGGAACGAAAGCGUGGGUAGCAAACAGG
RNAcentral lists this ribosomal RNA (403 nucleotides) under bacterium. RNAcentral's name for it is "partial 16S ribosomal RNA". It matches the Rfam family "Bacterial small subunit ribosomal RNA", at positions 355 to 776 of the family's 1533-position model. The record is from RNAcentral.